This 460-nucleotide ribosomal RNA is filed under the name uncultured bacterium. RNAcentral describes it as "partial 16S ribosomal RNA". It matches the Rfam family "Bacterial small subunit ribosomal RNA", at positions 338 to 795 of the family's 1533-position model. The record is from RNAcentral.
CCUACGGGCGGCAGCAGUGAGGAAUAUUGGUCAAUGGCCGAGAGGCUGAACCAGCCAAGUCGCGUGAGGGAAGACGGCCCUACGGGUUGUAAACCUCUUUUGUCGGGGAGCAAAGCGAGUCACGUGUGACUCAUUGAGAGUACCCGAAGAAAAAGCAUCGGCUAACUCCGUGCCAGCAGCCGCGGUAAUACGGAGGAUGCGAGCGUUAUCCGGAUUUAUUGGGGUUAAAGGGAGCGCAGGCGGAGGUGCAAGUCAGCGGUCAAAUUGCGGGGCUCAACCCCGGGACUGCUUUGGAAACUGUGUAACUGGAGUACAGGAGGGGCAGGCGGAAUUCCUGGUGUAGCGGUGAAAUGCGUAGAUAUCAGGAGGAACACCGGCGGCGAAGGCGGCCUGCUGGACUGAAACUGACGUUGAGGCUCGAAAGCGUGGGGAGCAAACAGGAUUAGAUACCCCAGUAGUC